Molecule: unclassified non-coding RNA, 247 nt
Filed under: Glomus sp.
Lineage: Eukaryota; Fungi; Glomeromycota; Glomeromycetes; Glomerales; Glomeraceae
Description: partial contains 5.8S ribosomal RNA and internal transcribed spacer 2
Rfam family: 5.8S ribosomal RNA (bases 1-71)
Source: RNAcentral
GUGAAUCAUCAAAUCUUUGAACGCAAAUUGCACUUUCUGGUAUUCCGGAAAGUAUGCCUGUUUGAGGGUCAGUUAAAUAAACAUCGGUGUUGUUGCUGCUUUUCGUGUUGACGCGUGGGAUUUGUGUUGUCUUCCCUUCGGUUAAGUUACUUAAAAUUUUGCAUGAUUUUCGAACGUAUUUAAAUUUAUUCAGUACGUUUGAGUUAUCUUAUUCUUUACUAGGUUAGAUCAUCCACAUGAUUCGUAG